RNAcentral lists this ribosomal RNA (426 nucleotides) under Reticulitermes lucifugus. Its description in RNAcentral is "partial 16S ribosomal RNA". It matches the Rfam family "Bacterial large subunit ribosomal RNA", at positions 1797 to 2485 of the family's 2925-position model. Lineage: Eukaryota; Metazoa; Arthropoda; Insecta; Blattodea; Rhinotermitidae. The record is from RNAcentral.
CGCCUGUUUAUCAAAAACAUCUUUUCUUGUUAGUUUUUGAAGUAUGGCCUGCCCGCUGACUUUAGUGUUGAAGGGCCGCGGUAUUUUGACCGUGCAAAGGUAGCAUAGUCAUUAGUUCUUUAAUUGUGAUCUGGUAUGAAUGGCUUGACGAGGCAUGGGCUGUCUUAAUUUGAAUUGUUUAUUGAAUUUGGUCUUUGAGUUAAAAUUCUUAGAUGUUUUUAUGGGACGAGAAGACCCUAUAGAGUUUAACAUUUAUUAUGGUCCUUUUUCUGUUUGUGAGGGUUCACUGGGCUGUUUAAUAUGUUUUGUUGGGGUGAUGGGAGGGAUAUAAUUUAACCCCUCCUUUUUAUUAUUAUAUUUAUUUAUAUUUACUUGAUCCAUUUAUUUUGAUUGUAAGAUUAAAUUACCUUAGGGAUAACAGCGUAA